This is a long non-coding RNA of Cynara cardunculus var. scolymus (artichoke), 193 nucleotides long. RefSeq lists it as uncharacterized. Lineage: Eukaryota; Viridiplantae; Streptophyta; Magnoliopsida; Asterales; Asteraceae. The record is from RefSeq and is a predicted model, not a curated record. The transcript has 2 exons.
UAGGUAAACAUUAUCUAUCUGCUUUCUUCUCUCCACUCAAAUGGGGUGGCUUCAAUCCCUCUUCUCUCCCCUCAAGAAGCUUUGGGUUCGACUCCAUUCAGCCCAUCACAAGAGUAGAGGAAUAUACAUAUUGUAUGAAGAUGUGAAGUCAUGUCCCUAUGAAGAUGUGCAUGUACUUUGGUCUAUUUUGGUG